This 301-nucleotide ribosomal RNA is filed under the name uncultured bacterium. RNAcentral's name for it is "partial 16S ribosomal RNA". It matches the Rfam family "Bacterial small subunit ribosomal RNA", at positions 509 to 807 of the family's 1533-position model. The record is from RNAcentral.
CAGUCGCCGCGGUAAUACAGAGGGUGCAAGCGUUAAUCGGAUUUACUGGGCGUAAAGGGCGCGUAGGUGGUUAUGUAAGUGAGAUGUGAAAUCCCCGGGCUCAACCUGGGAACUGCAUCUUAUACUGCGUAGCUGGAGUGCAGUAGAGGGUAGUGGAAUUUCCGGUGUAGCGGUGAAAUGCGUAGAUAUCGGAAGGAACACCAGUGGCGAAGGCGGCUACCUGGACUGACACUGACACUGAGGCGCGAAAGCGUGGGGAGCAAACAGGAUUAGAUACCCCCGUAGUCCCUGUCUCUUAUAC